This 69-nucleotide transfer RNA is filed under the name Marmota marmota marmota (Alpine marmot). It matches the Rfam family "tRNA". From Rfam's summary of the family: Transfer RNA (tRNA) molecules are approximately 80 nucleotides in length. Their secondary structure includes four short double-helical elements and three loops (D, anti-codon, and T loops). RNAcentral also lists the same sequence under 3 other names. The record is from Rfam by way of RNAcentral. Lineage: Eukaryota; Metazoa; Chordata; Mammalia; Rodentia; Sciuridae.
GGUGCUGUAGCUCAGUGGCAGAGCAUCUACCUUGGCAUGUAGAGGCACUGGGUUCCAUCUUUAGCACCA